AGAGUUUGAUCCUGGCUCAGGAUGAACGCUAGCGGCAGGCUUAAUACAUGCAAGUCGAGGGGGCAGCAAUGUCACCGGCGAACGGGUGCGUAACGCGUAUGCAACCUACCUACAUCAGGGGGAUAGCCCUAGGAAACUGGGAUUAACACCGCAUAACAAUAGAGUUGGCAUCAACUUUAUUUGAAAUAUUUAUAGGAUGUAGAUGGGCAUGCGUAGGAUUAGCUAGUUGGUAAGGUAACGGCUUACCAAGGCUACGAUCCUUAGGGGCUCUGAGAGGAGUAUCCCCCACACUGGCACUGAGAUACGGGCCAGACUCCUACGGGAGGCAGCAGUAGGGAAUAUUGGGCAAUGGAGGCAACUCUGACCCAGCCAUGCCGCGUGCAGGAAGACGGUCCUCUGGAUUGUAAACUGCUUUUGAAUGGGAAGAAUGUGCUCCUUGCGAGGGGUAAUGACGGUACCAUUAGAAUAAGCCACGGCUAACUACGUGCCAGCAGCCGCGGUAAUACGUAGGUGGCGAGCGUUAUCCGGAUUUAUUGGGUUUAAAGGGUGCGUAGGCGGCUUAAUAAGUCGGUGGUUAAAAGUAGCAGCUUAACUGUUUUACAUGCCAUCGAUACUGUUGAGCUUGAG
This 627-nucleotide ribosomal RNA is filed under the name uncultured bacterium. Its description in RNAcentral is "bacterial SSU rRNA". It matches the Rfam family "Bacterial small subunit ribosomal RNA", at positions 8 to 646 of the family's 1533-position model. The record is from RNAcentral.